RNAcentral lists this ribosomal RNA (512 nucleotides) under uncultured bacterium. RNAcentral describes it as "bacterial SSU rRNA". It matches the Rfam family "Bacterial small subunit ribosomal RNA", at positions 15 to 518 of the family's 1533-position model. The record is from RNAcentral.
GAUUCUGGCUCAGGAUGAACGCUAGCGAUAGGCUUAACACAUGCAAGUCGAGGGGCAGCACGGUGUAGCAAUACACUGGUGGCGACCGGCGUACGGGUGCGUAACACGUAUGCAACCUACCCGCUAUUGGGGGAUAACCCGGCGAAAGUCGGACUAAUACCCCAUAUUAUUCUUACCGGGCAUCCGGUAGGUCUGAAAGAUUUAUCGAUUGCGGAUGGGCAUGCGGAUGAUUAGCUAGUAGGUGGGGUAACGGCUCACCUAGGCGACGAUCAUUAGGGGUUCUGAGAGGAAGGUCCCCCACACUGGAACUGAGACACGGUCCAGACUCCUACGGGAGGCAGCAGUGAGGAAUAUUGGUCAAUGGGCGCUAGCCUGAACCAGCCAAGUCGCGUGAAGGAUGAACCAGAUCUAUGGUUUGUAAACUUCUUUUGCAGGGGAGUAAAGUGCGACACGUGUGUUGUAUUGCAAGUACCCUGCGAAUAAGCAUCGGCUAACUCCGUGCCAGCCGCCGC